This 79-nucleotide transfer RNA is filed under the name Bacteroidota bacterium. RNAcentral's name for it is "Bacteroidetes bacterium (marine metagenome) tRNA-Leu". It matches the Rfam family "tRNA", at positions 9 to 71 of the family's 71-position model. Rfam says of the family: Transfer RNA (tRNA) molecules are approximately 80 nucleotides in length. Their secondary structure includes four short double-helical elements and three loops (D, anti-codon, and T loops). Further hydrogen bonds mediate the characteristic L-shaped molecular structure. tRNAs have two regions of fundamental functional importance: the anti-codon, which is responsible for specific mRNA codon recognition, and the 3' end, to which the tRNAs corresponding amino acid is attached (by aminoacyl-tRNA synthetases). tRNAs cope with the degeneracy of the genetic code in two manners: having more than one tRNA (with a specific anti-codon) for a particular amino acid; and 'wobble' base-pairing, i.e. permitting non-standard base-pairing at the 3rd anti-codon position. Lineage: Bacteria; Pseudomonadati; Bacteroidota. The record is from RNAcentral.
GGCGGAAUUGGUAGACGCGUUGGACUUAAAAUCCAAUUCGAUGACAAAUCGAGUGCCGGUUCGAGCCCGGCCGGCGGUA